RNAcentral lists this long non-coding RNA (546 nucleotides) under Mus spicilegus (steppe mouse). RNAcentral's name for it is "lncRNA (ENSMSIG00000026387.1)". Lineage: Eukaryota; Metazoa; Chordata; Mammalia; Rodentia; Muridae. The record is from RNAcentral.
CUCUUUACUGCAAAGUGAGAUUAAAAAGAGACCGAUGCACCACCUGGCUGAGCCCAGGCUUCCUCUCGUAUGAUCAGUGAGAGCCUGAAAUGAAAUGGGGAUGCUUUUAUCACUCUGUGGGUCUCUCUAUUCAGUGCAGGCUCUGUGGAUCCUGUGUGAAUCUGUCCAUCACCUUGAAUGUCUGGCGAUCUUGACACCACGCUUCAUGGCCAGGCUGGACCCUCUACUAACUGCUGAGGUUUCACUGCUUGCUUCUGACCUCAGAGGACCUCUUCAUGCCAUCCAGACACCUUCACCUCCAUUGCGAAUUCCUGAUAUGCUGAUAUUCGUGGUUUCUUCCUCUACCUAGCCGCUUCGAGAGUGAGUCCAGCUACCACUGAUACUCCAGAGUCUGAAUUCUGCACUGCCAUGUGUGGGUGACAACUUGACCCCCUCUCUCCUCUGCAGGUGACCUGUUGGGGGUUUGUUUGAGAUUCAGUUGGCAUCUACAUGCCGAUUAAUAUAAAUGUAAACAGGAUUGAACAUUCUCAUGAGGGGAAUACCUCC